This 284-nucleotide ribosomal RNA is filed under the name uncultured bacterium. RNAcentral's name for it is "partial 16S ribosomal RNA". It matches the Rfam family "Bacterial small subunit ribosomal RNA", at positions 523 to 807 of the family's 1533-position model. The record is from RNAcentral.
AUACGGAGGAUGCGAGCGUUAUCCGGAUUUAUUGGGUUUAAAGGGAGCGUAGGCGGGAGCUUAAGUCAGCGGUUAAAUGGUGCGGCUCAACCGUGCCCUGCCGUUGAAACUGGGUUUCUUGAGAGUGCAAGAGGCGGAUGGAAUUCAUGGUGUAGCGGUGAAAUGCUUAGAUAUCAUGAAGAACUCCGAUUGCGAAGGCAGUCCGCUGGGGCACGUCUGACGCUGAUGCUCGAAGGUGCGGGAAUCAAACAGGAUUAGAUACCCUGGUAGUCCACGCCGAAAAC